Molecule: unclassified non-coding RNA, 337 nt
Filed under: soil metagenome
Description: partial contains 5.8S ribosomal RNA, internal transcribed spacer 2, and large subunit ribosomal RNA
Rfam family: 5.8S ribosomal RNA (bases 1-120)
Source: RNAcentral
GAUGAAGAACGCAGCGAAAUGCGAUAAGUAGUGUGAAUUGCAGAAUUCAGUGAAUCAUCGAAUCUUUGAACGCACAUUGCGCCCCUUGGUAUUCCAUGGGGCAUGCCUGUUCGAGCGUCAUUUGUACCUUCAAGCUCUGCUUGGUGUUGGGUGUUUGUCUCGCCUCUGCGUGUAGACUCGCCUCAAAACAAUUGGCAGCCGGCGUAUUGAUUUCGGAGCGCAGUACAUCUCGCGCUUUGCACUCAUAACGACGACGUCCAAAAGUACAUUUUUACACCCUUGACCUCGGAUCAGGUAGGGAUACCCGCUGAACUUAAGCAUAUCAAUAAGCGGAGGA